RNAcentral lists this ribosomal RNA (976 nucleotides) under uncultured archaeon. RNAcentral's name for it is "bacterial SSU rRNA". It matches the Rfam family "Archaeal small subunit ribosomal RNA", at positions 1 to 934 of the family's 1478-position model. The record is from RNAcentral.
UUUUCCGGUUGAUCCUGCCGGAGGCUACCGCUAUUGGAAUCCGAUUAAGCCAUGCGAGUCGAGAGACUUCGGGUCUCGGCAGACGUCUCAGUAACACGUGGAUAAUCUGCCCUUGAGUGGGGGAUAAGCUUGGAAAACUGAGUAUAAUACCCCAUAGGUCUAGGAUGCUGGAAUGCUUUUAGGCUGAAAGUUGCGGCGCUCAAGGAUGAAUCUGCGGCCUAUCAGGCUGUAGUGGGUGUAACGGACCCACUAACCUUCGACGGGUACGGGCCUUGAGAGAGGUUGCCCGGAGUCGGACUCUUAGACACGAGUCCAGGCCCUACGGGGUGCAGCAGGCGCGAAAACUUCACAAUGUGGGAAACCGCGAUGAGGGGAUUCCAAGUGCUAACACACUGUGUUGGCUGUUCAUCUGCCUAAAAAGCUGGUGAAGUAAGGGCCGGGUAAGACGGGUGCCAUCUGCGAGCGUCCAGCGAGAAGAUUGAACGCUGGGCACAGCAGCGCACAAGCCGCCGCGGUAAUACCCGCGGCCCGAGUGGUGGCCGUUAUUAUUGAGCCUAAAGCGUCCGUAGCCGGUCUAGUAAAUUUCUGGGUAAAUCGGGCAGCUUAACUGUCCGAAUUCCGGAAAGACUGCUAGACUUGGGACCGGGGGAGGUUGGAGGUACUCCUGGGGUAGGGGUGAAAUCCUGUAAUCCUGGGGGGACCACCAGUGGCGAAGGCGUCCAACCAAAACGGCUCCGACGGUAAGGGACGAAGCCCUGGGGCGCAAACGGGAUUAGAUACCCCGGUAGUCCAGGGUGUAAACGCUGCAGGCUUGGUGUUGGGGGUCCUACGAGGGCGCCCAGUGCCGGAGUGAAGAUGUCAAGCCUGCCGCUUGGGGAGUACGUCCGCAAGGAUGAAACUUAAAGGAAUUGGCGGGGGAGCACAGCAACGGGUGGAGCGUGCGGUUCAAUUGGAUUCAACGCCGGGAAUCACUAGU